ACUAACUCACAAGAUUAUAA
Molecule: small nuclear RNA, 20 nt
Filed under: Arabidopsis thaliana (thale cress)
Lineage: Eukaryota; Viridiplantae; Streptophyta; Magnoliopsida; Brassicales; Brassicaceae
Description: snRNA_06522
Source: RNAcentral